This 1269-nucleotide long non-coding RNA is filed under the name Monodelphis domestica (gray short-tailed opossum). Its description in RNAcentral is "lncRNA (ENSMODG00000046212.1)". The record is from RNAcentral. Lineage: Eukaryota; Metazoa; Chordata; Mammalia; Didelphimorphia; Didelphidae.
CACAAAUCUUUUUUUAAUUGAAAAUUUUUAUUUAAUUAAUUAAUUUAAAAUAUUUUCCUGUGGUUACAUGAUUCAUGUUCUUUCCGUCCCCUCCCCCCAUAGCUGAUGCGCAAUUCCACUGGGUUUUACAUGUGUCAUUGAUCAAGACCCAUUUCCAUAUUAUUGAUAUUUACACUUGGGUGACCAUUUAGAGUCUACAUCCCCAAUCCUAUCCCCAUCGGCCCAUGUGUUGUUUUUAUCUUCUGUGUUUCCGCUCCCACAGUUCUUUCUCUGGAUGUGGAUAGCAUCUUUCUCAUAAGUCCCUCUGAAUUGUUCUGGAUCACUGCAUUGCUGCUAGUAGAGAAGGCCACUACAUUCAAUUGUACCACAGUGUAUUAGUCUCUGUGGACAAUGUUCUCCUGGUUCUGCUCCUCUCACUCUGCAUCACUUCCUGGAGGUUGCUCCAGUCUCCAUGGAACUCCUCCACUUUGUUAUUCCUUUCAGCACAAUAGUAUUCCAUCACCAACUUAUACCACAAUUUGCUCAGCCAUUCCCCAAUUGAUGGGCAUCCCCUCAUUUUCCAAAUAAGCACAAAUCUUCAUCUUGAUUUUAUACUAUCUUUAUAUAAAGUUAAGGGCAACUAGGCAGUACAGUGGAUAGCAUGCCAGGCCUAAAGUCAGGAAGACUCAUCUUUAUGAAUUUGAAUCCAGAUUCAGAUGCUGCCUAGCUAUAUGACCCUAGGCAAGUCAAUUAAUUCUAUUUGUCUCAGUUUCCUCAUCUGUAAGAUGAGCUGGAUAAAGAAAUGGCAAACCACUCCAGUAUCUCUGCCAAGAAAACCCUAAAUUCUGUUUGCCUCAGUUUCCUCAUCUGUAAAAUGAGCUGGAGAAAGAAAUGGCAAACCACUCUAGUAUCUCUGCCAAGAAAACCCUGAAUGAGGCCACAGAGUCAGACAAGACCAAAAAAUGACUGACCAACAAUUGAGAGUUGGUCUUUCUGCCUCUAAAGCUCUGAGCUCUAUGGCUGACUACAUCCCAUCCUCUCUCCCCUGCCGCAGCUCUGAGGGAGGUGAAAGACAGAUCAAUGGCCACUUCAAAUAUGGUCAUCCUACCGAGGAUGAUGAGCUGUUCUGUGUCUUCUGUGAGAUAUUUCAUUAGCUAUUUGUCCUCCACUCUUCGGUGCCAGCUGCAGAGUUCCUAAGCAAGGAGUUUUCCCAUCCAUUUCCUGAGAAACAGAGUAAGGACCAGAAUUCCUAUAAAUAAAGGCUUCGGCGGAGGAUGGAGCCGAAGGAGG